Molecule: transfer RNA, 75 nt
Filed under: Candidatus Harrisonbacteria bacterium CG10_big_fil_rev_8_21_14_0_10_49_15
Lineage: Bacteria; Candidatus Harrisoniibacteriota
Description: tRNA-Arg
Rfam family: tRNA
About the family: Transfer RNA (tRNA) molecules are approximately 80 nucleotides in length. Their secondary structure includes four short double-helical elements and three loops (D, anti-codon, and T loops).
Source: RNAcentral
GCCCUUGUAGUUCAACGGAUAGAAUACCUGGCUUCGAACCAGGCGAUUGAGGUUCGAUUCCUCACGAGGGCACAA